GGGGUGUUACAUAGUGGUAUCAGAGCGGGUCUACGUUCCUGUAGACUCGUGCCCAAAAAAAAAUGUUUUGCUUUCAAAAAGGUUUAAGUAAGCUUAAAAGGUUAGAUAAGUCUAGUCAUUCGAAACUCAUGGGCUGCAUCGACUCCAAGGUAUGUGUUUUAAUUUCUUAAGUAUACGACCGUUAGGAUGUUUUACAUGACUUUUUUUUUAUGAUGCCUUUAUGUUCUAGUACUAUUAUGUUUAGCUUCGUUAGAAAUAGUUGAAAUUGUGAAAUUGUUAGAUGGUACGGACACAUCAAACUCCCACUAGAGCUCAAUUACCCUAUAAGCACUAAUUGAGAAAUUGCGCGAAGAAUAUAUGAAAGAUUAAGUGAACGUUGUGAAUUCUUGCGUGUACAAUGCGAGAGAUACGAAAGGAUUAGGAGGCUGCAAUCGGUGUACGACUGCUAUAC
Molecule: long non-coding RNA, 451 nt
Filed under: Salvia miltiorrhiza (redroot sage)
Lineage: Eukaryota; Viridiplantae; Streptophyta; Magnoliopsida; Lamiales; Lamiaceae
Description: long non-coding RNA (SMIL_LNC004173)
Source: RNAcentral